Molecule: long non-coding RNA, 758 nt
Organism: Oryzias latipes (Japanese medaka)
Lineage: Eukaryota; Metazoa; Chordata; Actinopteri; Beloniformes; Adrianichthyidae
Source: RefSeq, a predicted model, not a curated record
UACCCAGUGACUUGACACACAUAGGCGCACGCAUGCCAACUUUUAGUUUUAGAGCUGAACACCCCCCCCUCUCCUCAGUGCACGGCGGCACGUUAAACCCCUCCUUUUGGCAUUCCUCACUGAUCCCUCACCACGGACGCACUCUUCCAGCUGUCACACUCUGGACCAAGCCAUCUCUUCUGCGUCCAUAGAACAGCAACAGGACAGGACACAGAACCGGGACAUCCCACAGCACCAGCACAGACAUGUCAGACUCAGAGACCGCCGCUGCCCCCGGCGAGGCCCCCGUUCCCGCCGCUUGCACCAGCAUCAAGGCAGACCUGGACAAAUGCGUGGCAGAGAAGGGAGCUGAGGGCUGCAAAGAUCUAAUGGAGGCCUUUGCUGCAUGCGUGAAGAAAGCAGCGGAAGGAACGUCAUGAGGAGUCGCCCUCCAGCCGUAAAUGUCCACUUCCAGUCCUACAUGUUCCCAGCAUUCCCUUCUGCACAGCAGCACUGGAUUCAACAACAACGGCGAUGAUGAAGAUGAUGAUGAUGAAAUGCAGGACAAAUGCUGCCUCGACUGGUCUGAGUUUGGGAUGUGGCUGCAGUAACCAGUGUUCCCUCCCCUGUUCGACCCCCCGUUUAGGCCUUUUUUCCCGCCAUUCCCCUCCUCUCUCUGCAGGCUGCUCGGAGUUCCGGAGAACCGACGGGCUGUGAUCUAACAUGUUGAGAUGUAAACAUAUAAAUGGAAAUAAAAGUACAAACAGUUGCUACAAAAA